This 497-nucleotide ribosomal RNA is filed under the name uncultured bacterium. RNAcentral's name for it is "partial 16S ribosomal RNA". It matches the Rfam family "Bacterial small subunit ribosomal RNA", at positions 28 to 507 of the family's 1533-position model. The record is from RNAcentral.
GAUGAACGCUGGCGGCGUGCCUAAUACAUGCAAGUCGAGCGAACAGAUAAGGAGCUUGCUCCUUUGACGUUAGCGGCGGACGGGUGAGUAACACGUGGGUAACCUACCUAUAAGACUGGGAUAACUUCGGGAAACCGGAGCUAAUACCGGAUAACAUUUGGAACCGCAUGGUUCUAAAGUGAAAGAUGGUUUUGCUAUCACUUAUAGAUGGACCCGCGCCGUAUUAGCUAGUUGGUAAGGUAACGGCUUACCAAGGCGACGAUACGUAGCCGACCUGAGAGGGUGAUCGGCCGCACUGGAACUGAGACACGGUCCAGACUCCUACGGGAGGCAGCAGUAGGGAAUCUUCCGCAAUGGGCGAAAGCCUGACGGAGCAACGCCGCGUGAGUGAUGAAGGGUUUCGGCUCGUAAAACUCUGUUAUUAGGGAAGAACAAAUGUGUAAGUAACUGUGCACGUCUUGACGGUACCUAAUCAGAAAGCCACGGCUAACUACGUG